Non-coding RNA from Leptonychotes weddellii (Weddell seal), 231 nucleotides. NCBI's taxonomy places the organism in Eukaryota, Metazoa, Chordata, Mammalia, Carnivora, Phocidae. The record is from RefSeq and is a predicted model, not a curated record.
CGGGAGGCCCGGUUGCGGCAGGCUACACGACUCUUGGAGUGUGGACAAGGUGCCGGGCCCCAGAUGAUCCAGAAGACUUGGUGAAAUGGUGGAGCGCAAGGGGGAAAAAGCCUUGGUCUCUUAACCACAGUGUGGAAGCUUAUCUACGGACACGGUACAGUGGAAGUCCAGGUUAUUUCAGAGUCAACUUCACCAGUGAAUGAAAGAGAAAGAACAAAGGAGAGAGGGAAA